GUAACAGGUCUUUCGGGAUGCUGACGAGUGGCGAACGGGUGAGUAAUACAUCGGAACGUGCCCAGUAAUGGGGGAUAGCUCGGCGAAAGCCGGAUUAAUACCGCAUACGCCCUGAGGGGGAAAGUGGGGGACCGCAAGGCCUCACGUUAUUGGAGCGGCCGAUGGCUGAUUAGCUAGUUGGUAGGGUAAAGGCCUACCAAGGCGACGAUCAGUAGCUGGUCUGAGAGGACGAUCAGCCACACUGGGACUGAGACACGGCCCAGACUCCUACGGGAGGCAGCAGUGGGGAAUUUUGGACAAUGGGGGAAACCCUGAUCCAGCAAUGCCGCGUGUGCGAAGAAGGCCUUCGGGUUGUAAAGCACUUUUGUCAGGGAAGAAAUCCUUUGGGCUAAUACCCUAGGGGGAUGACGGUACCUGAAGAAUAAGCACCGGCUAACUACGUGCCAGCAGCCGCGGUAAUACGUAGGGUGCAAGCGUUAAUCGGAAUUACUGGGCGUAAAGCGUGCGCAGGCGGUUGUGUAAGACAGGUGUGAAAUCCCCGGGCUUAACCUGGGGAAUUGCAUUUGUGACUGCACGACUAGAGUGUGUCAGAGGGGGGGUGGAAUUCCACGUGUAGCAGUGAAAUGC
This 627-nucleotide ribosomal RNA is filed under the name Limnobacter thiooxidans. RNAcentral's name for it is "bacterial SSU rRNA". It matches the Rfam family "Bacterial small subunit ribosomal RNA", at positions 69 to 689 of the family's 1533-position model. Lineage: Bacteria; Pseudomonadati; Pseudomonadota; Betaproteobacteria; Burkholderiales; Burkholderiaceae. The record is from RNAcentral.